AGAUCUACUCCAGAGUACCACGAGACACGUGAAACCUUGUGGGAAGCUGGGAGGACCACCUCCCAAGGCUAAAUACUAACUGGUGACCGAUAGUGAAGCAGUACCGUGAGGGAAAGGUGAAAAGAACCCCGGAAGGGGAGUGAAAUAGAACCUGAAACCGUGUGUCCACAACCGGUCGAAGCACUUUUACGUGCGACGACGUGCUUUUUGUAGAACGAGCCAGCGAGUUACGGUAUGUAGCAAGGUUAAGUACUUAAGGUACGGAGCCGAAGGGAAACCGAGUCUGAAUAGGGCGAAAAGUUGCAUGUCGUAGACCCGAAACCGGGUGACCUAUCCAUGGCCAGGAUGAAGCGGAAGUAAAAUUCCGUGGAGGUCCGAACCACGUUGGUGUUGAAAAACCAUGGGAUGAGCUGUGGAUAGCGGAGAAAUUCCAAUCGAACUCGGAGAUAGCUGGUUCUCCUCGAAAUAGCUUUAGGGCUAGCGUUGAGAUUGAGUAAUGGAGGUAGAGCACUGAAUGGGCUAGGGGCUGACAACAGUUACUGAACCCUAUCAAACUCCGAAUGCCAUAUACUUGUAUCUCAGCAGUCAGACUACGAAUGAUAAGAUCCGUGGUCAAAAGGGAAACAGCCCAGAUCAUCAGCUAAGGUCCCAAAGUGUAAGUUAAGUGGAAAAGGAUGUGGGAUUUCUAAGACAACUAGGAUGUUGGCUUAGAAGCAGCCACUCAUUUAAAGAGUGCGUAAUAGCUCACUAGUCAAGAGAUCCUGCGCCGAAGAUGUCCGGGGCUAAAACUUACCACCGAAGCUAUGGGCUCGAAAGAGCGGUAGAGGAGCUUCCUGUAUGGAGUGAAGUCGUACCGAAAGGAGCGGUGGACUGUACAGGAGUGAGUAUGCUGGCAUAAGUAGCGAGAAAUAAGUGAGAAUCUUAUUGGUCGAAAAUCUAAGGUUUCCUGAGGAAGGCUCGUCCGCUCAGGGUUAGUCGGGACCUAAGCCGAGGCCGAAAGGCGUAGGUGAUGGACAAUCGGUUGAUAUUCCGAUACCACCAACUGACGUUAUUACAAAUGGGAUGACGCAGGAGGAUAGGAUGUGCACACUAUUGGAUGUGUGUCUAAGCAUCUAGACAGAUCAGACAGGCAAAUCCGUCUGGUUAAUGUUGAGGUGUGAUGGGGAGUGGCCUUGUGCCGCGAAGUAUCUGAUUCCACGCUGCCAAGAAAAGUCUCUAUGGAGGAUGUUGGUGCCCGUACCGCAAACCGACACAGGUAGAUGAGGAGAGAAUCCUAAGACCAUCGGAAGAAUUGUUGUCAAGGAACUCGGCAAAUUGACCCCGUAACUUCGGGAGAAGGGGUGCCUAUGUAACAGUAGGCCGCAGAGAAUAGGCCCAAGCAACUGUUUAGCAAAAACACAGGUCUCUGCUAAAGCGAAAGCUGAAGUAUAGGGGCUGACGCCUGCCCGGUGCUGGAAGGUUAAGGGGAACACUUAGCG
Molecule: ribosomal RNA, 1478 nt
Filed under: Clostridium muellerianum
Lineage: Bacteria; Bacillati; Bacillota; Clostridia; Eubacteriales; Clostridiaceae
Description: Clostridium sp. P21 partial 23S ribosomal RNA
Rfam family: Bacterial large subunit ribosomal RNA
Source: RNAcentral